UACGUAGGGGGCAAGCGUUGUCCGGAAUCAUUGGGCGUAAAGCGCGUGUAGGCGGCCCGGUAAGUCCGCUGUGAAAGUCGGGGGCUCAACCCUCGAAUGCCGGUGGAUACUGUCGGGCUAGAGUGCGGGAGAGGCGAGUGGAAUUCCUGGUGUAGCGGUGAAAUGCGCAGAUAUCAGGAGGAACACCGAUUGCGAAGGCAGCUCGCUGGGACGUCACUGACGCUGAGACGCGAAAGCGUGGGGAGCAAACAGG
This 253-nucleotide ribosomal RNA is filed under the name uncultured bacterium. RNAcentral describes it as "partial 16S ribosomal RNA". It matches the Rfam family "Bacterial small subunit ribosomal RNA", at positions 524 to 776 of the family's 1533-position model. The record is from RNAcentral.